AUUGAACGCUGGCGGCAGGCCUAACACAUGCAAGUCGAGCGGAUGAAGGGAGCUUGCUCCUGGAUUCAGCGGCGGACGGGUGAGUAAUGCAUAGGAAUCUGCCUGGUCGUGGGGGAUAACGUACGGAAACGGGCGCUAAUACCGCAUACGUCCUGAGGGUGAAAGUGGGGGAUCUUCGGACCUCACGCUAUCAGCUGAGACUAGGUCGUAUUAGCUAGUUGGUGGGGUAAAGGCCUACCAAGGCGACGAUCCGUAACUGGUCUGAGAGGAUGAUCAGUCACACUGGAACUGAGACACGGUCCAGACUCCUACGGGAGGCAGCAGUGGGGAAUAUUGGACAAUGGGCGAAAGCCUGAUCCAGCCAUGCCGCGUGUGUGAAGAAGGUCUUCGGAUUGUAAAGCACUUUAAGUUGGGAGGAAGGGCAGUAAGUUAAUACCUUGCUGUUUUGACGUUACCAACAGAAUAAGCACCGGCUAACUUCGUG
Molecule: ribosomal RNA, 484 nt
Filed under: uncultured bacterium
Lineage: Bacteria
Description: partial 16S ribosomal RNA
Rfam family: Bacterial small subunit ribosomal RNA
Source: RNAcentral